CACGCAUUGUGACAACAACAACAACAACAAAUAUGGCGGAAUCUGUAUUGUCAAACACGGAAGAAGAAGGAUACAACCAUAAUUAAACCAAGAAGUUUAUGAAGAAGGGAUCACUGGAAUUUGUCACUUUGGUACAAGAAACAGAAAAGGAUAUCAUAGACCACCUUACUUAUACGGAAGCAUAGGAGCUGUUGAAGGAGCCAGACAGUCAACAGUUAUCACUGACAGCCUGUCCUGGCCCAGCUGGGACCAUCCUCAAGCUAACCAUGAUGAUGUGUUUGCAAGAAUUGUCCAUUUGGUAGAACAUGAUGAAGAAGAGCUUUGUUGUGGCAUGGCCUGACAAUACUGUACAAGCCAGAGACCAAAAAAGGGUUAAGUGGUGACUGAUCCUCUCACCCUCAUUAUCCAGGAAACGUUUCAGAACAACGUGUUGGCACUGAAGAUGUGGAGGACACAGAUUGAUCACAGUACAUCCUUUGGAUACAUGAACACCUUCAACGGGACGACAACAAAACUGUACCUGCCUUUUUUUUGAAAAGAAGUAGUUAAUAAAAUUAUUGUUAACAGCUUUUUUAGUCUUGUUGUUUAAGAAUGCUUGCAACAUUUAAGUGGAUAAACGGUUGUUUUAAAUUUGAAGCUUCAGUAAUGCAUUCUUUAUUAAAUGAUGUAAUCUUAUUUCUUUCAAUAUAGUGUAAGUAAUAAGAACAUAAUUAUCCUUUGUAUACAAAAUGAAAACCAAGUUUACUGUUCUAUUAAUCAUUAUUUAUUUAUCUUGUUCUUUUGUCAGAAAUAUUACAGGGGCAUACAUACAGUAUUCCUUAAAUAAAAGGGGCAGUUCUUAGAAAAUUAACAUGUAUUUUAGUAAUGCAUAUUCAAACUUUUUCCACAUUUAUAACCAGCAACAAUAUGUAAGUAUUAUAAUGUAACACAAAUUAAUACUAUGAAUUUACUACUGAUUUUGCCGUGCCUGUCAUCAAAUAAACAUGUUUUACUGAAAGUUUCUUAAAAGAUGUUAUGUGGAAGACUUAAUUAAUCAUUUAAUAAAUAUUUGAGCCUCGCUCUUGGAAAAGGGGGUUUAAUGCAUGUACUUAAGGUUUUCCAAGAUUAGGCUGUGCAGACUGCACAGGCUAAUCAGGGGCAACACUUUCCGCCUUAUCUGGAUUUUCUCUCUCCCUUUCAACAAAAAAUACAAUAAGGCAUCAAUUGUCUGCCUGAUUGGUAUGAUCAGCACAUGUUAAUCUCGUACGACAAUUUAUGCACAUGCAUUAAGCCCCAUUUUCCCAGGGCAAGGCUCACCUAUUUAGGUUUUAGCUGUCUAUAUGCUCUUUAACUUUUGAAUCAUGAUGCAGUUUCAUAUAAUAAUCAGGGAUCAUAUUUUCCCGCAACAUCAAUCGGUCCGGAUAUAAAUGGGGAAAAGUAUCCGAAAAUGUGUGUCCGAAAUCAUGACAAAUUACGUUAAAAUAUAUACCAUUGAUUUUGCCAAUCAUGAAGGUGGUAUAAUACAUGUACAAGUAAAAUUUCCUUCGGCAUUUUUUUAAACGGAACGAGUUUUACUGGCUUUAUCAUUUGGUAUUUCAUUGUUGUUUCGUGUGAUGUUUUAACAGACUUUUUUCAUCGUUGUCAAUAUUAUUAAUCUGUGUAAGUCGAUGUUUUUAAUUGUUGUUGACUCGAUAAUAUCUUACCAACAUGCACUGAACCAAACAAAUGUCUGUGCGUAGGUUGGCUACUGACAACAACAAACCAAAUAAUUAAGAAAUAAUUUGUUGUCAAAUAACCCACGUACGAUAGUUAAGAUGAGUAUGGAUUUAAUCACGAGAGCGAAGCAUUUGAAACCACGCAUCUGAUUUUCCGGUCGUGAGUUAUUCAACAACAAAGUAUUAAGUACACGAAUUAUUUUGAUUCUAACACGGUUUUACUAAAGAUUUAUUCAAUGUUUAUUAUUUUUCUUGUGUACUAUUUUAUGUGAAGUAAAUAAAAAUAACUUUCGGCUGUUCUGUUGAUCAGAUCCGCGACUUUCAUGCAUAAUUACAUUACCGGAUUAUUACGCUGGUGGAAAAUGUAUCGGCAUGUUUUGUUUAGUUACAGCGCGUGCAUUCAGACGCGUCUUUUCGGAUGCGUCUUUAAUCCGCUGUUCACGAGUUUUUGAUUCUUGGUCUGACGUGCAAUAAACCGGCCCUGACCGGUUUAGAGACUGCAGCGAAUGGUUUAUCACACCUACUUGAGAAAAGAAUGUCAUUAGGGUGUGUUAGCAUGUACACUGUGUAAUCGAUUUCAUGACAUGGCAAUUUUAAUAGCAAACAGAAUCGGACCGACUGUUUGGGAUUUUCAAUCGGUCUUUCAUGACCCCAAUCGGUCUAGGACCGUCAAAACCGAAAAAAAUAUGAUCCCUGAUAAUAAUGUAUUAUGAGUCGUUUUUAAUUGAUGCAUAUUCUUUUGUUCAGUGUUGAACUCAACAUGUAUUAUAAUAAGGUGUUCACUUAACAUUCUUGCAGUAAUGUUUUGCUGUGUAAUAUACAUGUAAUAAUAAAUCAAAAUUGAACAACUA
Molecule: long non-coding RNA, 2545 nt
Organism: Dreissena polymorpha
Lineage: Eukaryota; Metazoa; Mollusca; Bivalvia; Myida; Dreissenidae
Exons: 4
Source: RefSeq, a predicted model, not a curated record